This 253-nucleotide ribosomal RNA is filed under the name uncultured bacterium. RNAcentral describes it as "partial 16S ribosomal RNA". It matches the Rfam family "Bacterial small subunit ribosomal RNA", at positions 524 to 776 of the family's 1533-position model. The record is from RNAcentral.
UACAGAGGUGGCAAGCGCUGUUCGGAAUUACUGGGCGUAAAGGGCGCGUAGGCGGCCUUCUAAGUCAGACGUGAAAUCCCCCGGCUUAACCUGGGAACUGCGUCUGAUACUGGAGGGCUUGAGUGCGGGAGAGGGAUGUGGAAUUCCAGGUGUAGCGGUGAAAUGCGUAGAUAUCUGGAGGAACACCGGUGGCGAAGGCGGCAUCCUGGACCGACACUGACGCUGAGGCGCGAAAGCUAGGGUAGCAAACGGG